CCUACGGGCGGCUGCAGUGGGGAAUAUUGGGCAAUGGAGGCAACCCUGACCCAGCAACGCCGCGUGAAUGAUGAAGGUCUUCGGAUUGUAAAGUUCUGUGAUGGGGGAUGAACACAAUGACGGUACCCCAAUAGCAAGCCAUGGCUAACUACGGGCCAGCAGCCGCGGUAAUACGGAGGUGGCAAGCGUUAUCCGGAAUGCCUGGGCGUAAAGGGUGCGUAGGUGGUUUAGUAAGUUGGCGGGGUAAUUCCGGGGCUCAACCUCGGCGCUACCGCCAAAACUAUUAGACUAGAGUGCAGGAGAGGUAUGGGGAAUGCGUGGUGUAGCGGUGGAAUGCGUAGAUAUCAGGAGGAACAUCAGGGGCGAAGGCGACUUACUGGACUGUAACUGACGCUGAAGCACGAAAGCGUGGGGAGCAAACAGGAUUAGAUACCCGUGUAGUC
Molecule: ribosomal RNA, 443 nt
Filed under: uncultured bacterium
Lineage: Bacteria
Description: partial 16S ribosomal RNA
Rfam family: Bacterial small subunit ribosomal RNA
Source: RNAcentral